This 168-nucleotide ribosomal RNA is filed under the name uncultured bacterium. RNAcentral describes it as "partial 16S ribosomal RNA". It matches the Rfam family "Bacterial small subunit ribosomal RNA", at positions 338 to 498 of the family's 1533-position model. The record is from RNAcentral.
CCUACGGGAGGCAGCAGUGGGGAAUUUUGGACAAUGGGCGCAAGCCUGAUCCAGCAAUGCCGCGUGCAGGAAGAAGGCCUUCGGGUUGUAAACUGCUUUUGUACGGAACGAAACGGUCUGGGUUAAUACCUCGGGRUAAUGACGGUACCGUAAGAAUAAGCCCCGGCU